CGAAGAGUCAACAACGUUUGACACAGGUACUCAUGUGGAGUUCCUCAUAGUAUUCCCGACUCCUGUAAUUUGAUCGUGCAGGAGUAGCAGUCCAAAUAAAUAUUAAAACAUGGAUGCACAAAAUGAUGUUAAUCGGGGAGAAUUCACGUGGAAAAUCAGCUACUUCACUGAGCAGGAUGCAAAAAAGCUUUACUCUGAAGCAUUUACAGUUUCCGGUUGUAAAUGGAGAAUUAUCUUAUACCCCAAGGGGAAUGCCACGGAACAUUUGUCGCUGUACCUUGAUGUCCCUGAUUCUGCAACGUUGCCGAACGGGUGGACCAGAAAUGCCGAGUUCAGCUUGAGUGUGAUCGAUCAAAUCAAUGAUGUUCGCACCAUUA
Long non-coding RNA from Eucalyptus grandis, 377 nucleotides. RefSeq lists it as uncharacterized. Lineage: Eukaryota; Viridiplantae; Streptophyta; Magnoliopsida; Myrtales; Myrtaceae. The transcript has 3 exons. The record is from RefSeq and is a predicted model, not a curated record.